Molecule: long non-coding RNA, 6722 nt
Organism: Manis pentadactyla (Chinese pangolin)
Lineage: Eukaryota; Metazoa; Chordata; Mammalia; Pholidota; Manidae
Exons: 3
Source: RefSeq, a predicted model, not a curated record
GUAUCUUCUAGAUUACAGCAUCUUUCCUUCCAAGUUCCAACUUCGUCAGUCUUUCAUCUUCCAUAUCUCAGGACCACUUCCCUGGUUGUAUUCAUGAGCAGCACAAUGAUCUGUUCCACUGUACCCUAUAAGUUGUUCUCUUGUAUCUUCUAAUAAUUUUAUGAAUGCUCUUGAUACAAUGAGAUCUCUGUGACCUGGAGGAAAACCCUCUUCUAAUCAUGCUGGCGCCCCAGUCUCAAAUUUCCAGCCUCGAGAAAUGUGCACAAUAAAUUUCUCCUUAUAAACAGCAAUUUAUAAUACUUAUAAUAUACAUUUGUAUUUAUUGUCUAUUUGUAAUAAAUUUAUAUUUAUUAUAAAAUAUAAUGUAUAACUUAUAAUACAUCUAUAAUUUAUAACAAAUGCUGUGUUAUUUUGUUAUAGCAGCCCAAACCAAGACAGGUUUUCAGAGUAACAAUCUUUUAAUGAUACUGUGAGAGGUUUACCUUUUACCCUGACAAAUCUUUUAUCUUUUAAAAAGCUUCAUAUUAUUUUUUCCAGUUUCAUUGAGAUAUAAUUAACUACCUUUUUUAUUCAGACCCUGUGAUUGAAUUAAGCAUUUUCAGCGUUCCUUACUUUUUUGUGCCCUCCCAUAUUCUAACUGUAAGUUAGAUGCCUUCUCAAGCUUUGCUUCAAACAUUUGAGAUGCUGUCCUUGUCUCCACUCUUGCCAGUUUUCUCCUGAAUUCUUCAGUUGCUCGGUUUAACAACAAAAGCUCAUGUUGAGCAUUACACACGGCAUGGGAGAACUGCUGAAGAAUUUUCUCAGAAGCACAAUUCCUGGGCUCAUAUGCUUCAGUCUCUUGCUGUUCCUUCUUUUCUCUCCUUUUCUAUUUUGUAGUUAAUUUGCUUCCCAAAGUAUUUCCAGUGUUCCAAUCUUUGCCUUUUCAAGGCACAGAAUUAGAACCACAGUCAUUCUCCAUUUGUAAUAGGACAAAACAGGAAUUGGUGGUGGGAACAGUACUAAGUGCCUCAGAGGCCAUUGUAAAGAUUUUUCUUUUGAAAUAAUUCUGUCAAGAAGUCAUUCAUGAAUAAAAGCCAUAUUUCACCCAGAGGCUAAGUUAGAUGCUCCAAAAUGUAUUCUUCCAACAUACACAGACAACAAUAUAGGGCUGGGUGAGAUCUAACUCUGAGAAGAGUAGAGGCCCCUAAAACCUGUCACUCAAGGGCCCUGUGGCUGGGUUUGCCCUGGCGGGUCUCUGUGCUGCAGCCAUGGCCCAGGUGCCAGGGCGUGCGGUCUGAUUCAGGUCCCCCAGGCUGAAUCCCCAAAAGCCAGCUGGCAGAGCAGAUACACUGCUUUAGGAGCUCUGGAGUCAGCACCUGCCUACGUUGUCCUUUAUGACCCAGCCUCAAGAAGUCAUAUGCUUUCAUUUCCAACUACAGACAGGCUCAACAAGAUUCAAGAGGAGGGAACUGGCUUUCUCUCCUCCUCAAAGUCAUACUGAAAGAACAUGUGUGAGAUGGGGAGAUCUUGUGAUUAUUUGGAAAAAAUAAGCAGCCACAACACUCUUGCCAGAAGCAAGUGUGUGGGAGAUACAAUUUUUCUGCCCUUGAUUUUGGAUUUGACCAUGUGACUUGCCUUGGCCAAGGAGCCAGCUUCCAUCUGGGAAUUUCUUGCGAUUCUUGCCUUAGAACCUCGAGCUGCAAAGAUGUCUGAGGCUAGCAUGCUAGUGAAGACAACCAGACUAGACCCAUGGAAAGACCACAUGGAGAAACUCUGGUUUACAUGGAAUAAGAGAGAUGUCCAGCCAGCUCCCAGUUGCUUCUGGAACUCCACACUGUUCCGGGUUCAACUAUCAUGAAAAACCUGAACUGUCCAGCCAGUCUGUUUCUGAACUCCUGACCCAGAGGAACAAUGGAAGAUAAUAAAUGAUAGCUGGUGUUUAAAACCAUUAAACUAGAGAGACUGAAUGUAAAGAUAAUUCCAGCUCAUACAUGACACAUGACAAAGAACUCUGACCCAGAAACUCUGCAGCAGCCAACUGAUUUUCAGGAAGAAAACCGAGCUACAACCUUGGCAGCAAUCAGCUCACAACACUCAGGACUUGGUCGGUGAUGGCCAGCUUCCCUAUUUUUUUUUGCCUCUGCUUCCAGUUCAGGACCAACCAGGGAAAGCCAUACCAAUCCCCAAAUCAGUCACAUACGAUGCACUGCUCCUAGUUAAGCCUGCUUUCAGCUUCUCUAUGCCAGUGACCUCCGAUCAGAGUAUGCCUAGAGACGGCCCUUUUUCACUCCUGCUCUCCUGAAUACCUUUGAGUCUUGUCAAACACAAGUGAUGGUGGCUGUAACGCCAGUAAUUUUAAACAACCCAAAAAUAACAAGAAAGGACAUUAAUUACAUAAAUAACAUGUAAAAGUAAGAAAUAUUGUGGGAAGAACACUUAAUGUUCAACAACGAUUUGGUUUUAAAUGCAGCUUAGGAAAACAUAUUUAUAUGAAAUGAUAUAAGCUUAAAUAUAGCUAUGUCUGAAUGGAGAAAUUAUGGUUUUGCUCUUUCCUGAUGGUGGACGGCGCAUGGAGGACUUAGUGUUUUGGGGUUUGGGCGCCUGGCCUCUGCAAACGGGAUGCUCCCAGGCACCGGCACCUCUCUGCUUGCGGGCGGCACAGGAGGGCAGAGCAGGUCUUCCGCUGGACUGCGAUCUGGGAAGGCACCGUGGUGGCUUGGGGCCUGAGACAUACACGCGCACAUCUGGAAAGGUGAAGGGAUAUUGGAAGAGAUUCUAGAAGCAUGUGUGACUAUUUAAGAGAAAUCUUUUAAUAUCUGCACCAUGAUAGGUCCUGGAGGUGCCUUGCGGUGGGGCUUUGGGAGAUGUAGUUAGCAGGAAGCUGUGGAUAUUAAAGGAAAGAAAAGGUAAGAUCCCUCCCAAUUCAACAAUCCAAGAUAAAGUCCUGAAUGCCUCCAUGGCUAUUUAAUAUCCAGAAGCCAGGCCCUCACCUCUAUCAAGGCUACAGGCCUAUGGGUACCAGUGAGGUUAAUAUAGUAAAAAUUGGUAAAGGGAAACCUCACAGACAUGGUGUCUGGAGGCCUGCAGGGGGCGCUCCCAUGCCCAUCACUCCCGGUCAAUUGCAGACCCCUCAAGGAGGAGGACCCUUGUAACUCUACAAUUUUGGCUACUUCACCACCCAGGAGGAGGAGGCAAAAGUUCCUGCCUCCAGCAAUAGCCCAGCUAAUGAGCAACUGUUACAACUCUGCUAAUUAACAGCUACAACACAUGGGACUCCCAGUAUCCUCCAAUGGACUUCUUACUUGGAACACUCCCCAUUCUCUUCUAUAAAAGCCUCCUCCUUUCCUUUGUUCUCUAGACUGCCUAUGGCUUUGCCAUAGUUUGCUUUUUUUGAUUUGCAAUUCUCUUUUCCUCAACAGACCCAUUUUACUGGUAAAAUAACUGAUGGCUUUAUUUUUAUUUUGUUAUUAUAGUAUUGGCAAUAAAGAAUCUUAUAUUGGUUUCAAAUGUACAACACAGUGGUUCAGCAGUUACCCAUAUUAAAUCUCCACCCCCUCUAGUGUGGUUACUAUCAACAUAGAAAAAUGUUACAGAAUCAUUGACUAUAUUCUCUAUGCUGUACUACCGUCCCCAUGACCACCUUAUAUUGUGAUUGUGAAUUAUUGGGCCCCUUUAUUUCCCUCCCAUUCCCCUACCACCCAUGCCAACCCCUCCCACUGGUAACCACUAAUGACUUUUUAGUGUCUGAGUCUAAAGCUGUUUUGUUCUGUUUAUAUAUUCCACAAGUAAGUGAAAUCAUAUAGUAUUUGUCUUUGUCUGCCUGGCUUAUUUCACUGAAGAGAAUACCUUCUAGCUCCAUCCGUUGUGGCAAAUGGCAGGAUUUAUUUUCUUUUUAUGGCUGUGUAUAUGAACCACAUCUUCUUUAUCUAUUAUUCAUCUAUUGAUGGACACUUAAGUUGCUUCUGUAUUUUGGCUAUUGCAAAUAGUACAGUGAUUAACAUAGGGGUGCAUGUAUCUUUUCAAAUCAGGGAUUGUUUUCUUUGGGUAAAUUCCUGGAUUACACUGGGUCAAAUGGUACUUCUAUUUUUAAUUUUUUGAGGAACCUCCAUAUUGCUUUCCACAGCAAUUGCACCAAUUUACAUCCCUGCCCACAGUGUAGGAGGGUUCCCCUUUCUCCAUAUCCUGCCAGCAUUUGUUAUUUUUCAUUCAUUCUGACUGGUGUAAGGUCAUAUCUCAUUGCGGUUUUGACUUGUAUUUCCCUGAUGAUUAGAGCUGUGGAGCAUCUUUUCAUGUGCCUCUUGGCCCUCUGUAUUUCCUCUUUGGAGAAAUGUCUAUUCAGGACCUCCACCCAUUUUUUAAUCAGGUUUUUUUUUUGUUUCUUGAGGCAUAUAAGUCUUUAUAUAUUUGGAUGUUAACCCUUCAUCAUAUGAGUCUGUUACAAGUAUGUUCUCCCAUACUGUAGGGUUGCCUUUUUGUUCUGCUGGUCCUUUGGUGUAUUCCCACUUGUUCGUUUUUUAUUUUGUUUCCCAAGCCCAAGGAGAUGUGUCCAGGAAAAAAUUGCUCAUGCUCAUGUUCAAAAGAUUUUUGCCUAUGUUUUCUUCUAAGUUUUAUGGUUUCUUGACUUAGAUUCAUGUCUUUGAUCCAUAUCGAGUUUACUUUUGUGCAUGGAGUUAAGACAAUAGUCCAGUUUCAUUCUCUUGCAUGUAGCUUUCCAGUUUUCCCAACACAAGCUGUUGUAGAGGUUGUUUUUUCCCCCAUUGUAUAUUCAUGGCUCCUUUAUCCCAUAUAAUUGAACAAAUAUAUGUUGGUUUAUAUCUGGGCUCUCUAUUCUGUUCCAUUGAUCUAUGGGUCUCUUCUUGUGCCGGUACCAAACUGUUUUGAUUACUGUAGCUUUGUAGUAGAGUUUGAAGUUGGGGAGUGUCAUAACCCCAGAUGUUCCUGUUUCUAAGGAUUGCUUUGGCUAUUUAUGGUCUUUUGCAGUUACAUAUGAGUUUUAGAACUAUUCUAGUUCAUUUAAAAGUGCUGUUGAUAUUUUGAUAGGUAUUGCAUUGAAUCUGUAAUUUGCUUUGGAAAGGAUGGUCAUUUUGACAAUAUUAAUUCUUCCUAUCCAUGAGCACAGGUUACUUUUCCAUUUACUGAUGUCUUCUUUAAUUUGUCUCAUGAGUGUCUUAUGGUUUCACACUAUAGGUCUUUCACCUCCUUGGUUAGGUUCCUAGUUAUUUUAUUCUUUUUGAUGCACUUGUAAAUGGAGUUGUUUUCCUAUUUCUUUUUCUGCUAGUUCAUUGUUAGUAUGUAGGAAAGCAACAGAUUUCUGUGUAUUAAUUUUAUGUCCUGAAAACUCUGCUGAAUUCAGUUAUUCUAGUAGUUUUUCGGUGGAGUUUUUAGGGUUUUCUAUGUAUAAUAUGACUGUUACCAGCCAGAAUGCUGUUUUUCCCAGGAUCAUAUCUCAGAGGCAACGAAGAAUGAAGCCAGCAGACAAAGAGUAUGGAGUAACCAGCACAGCUCUUUUAAUGAGUGAAAAGAGGAAGUUCCUGCUAAUCAGUAGGGGCUGGAAGAGAGGAUGCCCUCAGGGCUGUGGUGUCUGGGGUUUAUAUUGCCUCCGGCCAGGAUGAAGUCCUACUCCCCACCUCCAAUCCCCAAUAGAGAACUGAACUAAUGACAUCACAGCUCAUUCCUGUUUGGGUGAAAGCACAAUGCUUAAUUUGCACAGGAAAUAACAGUCAGAACAGCUGAGGUCUAUCUAAGUAUACUUUUGGAUGGCUGAAUUGGAUUGUGGCAUGUUUUUGUUUUUGUUUUUGAAACUUACAAGGGUUUUUAAACUUCCUGAAAUUUACAAGGGCCCUGAACUUUGCCUGUGUCCUACUAUCACCUGCCUCACUCAAUAAAGAGUGACUGUUUAGCUUCUUCCUUACAGAUUUCAGUGCCUUUUAAAAUGAUGUUUUGUCUGAUUGCUGUGGCUAGGCCCUCCAGUACAAUGUUGAAUAAAAGUGGUGAGAAUGGACAUUCUUGUCUUUUUCCUAAUCUUAGAGGAAAAGCUUUUAGCUUUUUGCUAUUAAUAGUAUCUGACAGCUUUAUUUUUAAGUUUAGCAAUAUAGUAUCAGAUCUGUUUAUGCCUUUUCUUAGAGAGAACUUUGGAAAAUUUAAGGAGGCACCUAAAAAACCUCAUUAGUGAAGAUAAAUACUUUAAUGUAUUAUUUUUAAAAAUCAAAAUUAACUGCAAAAAAAUCCAUGAACAAAACUGUAAAAUUAUGCAUCCUUUUUACACCUCCCCCCAUCAACACUACAAGGUAAAUUACCUCCAAAGAGCAACUGUCCCGCAGUCUCCAAUAAAAACCCCAGGGAUUCUGGAUCAGGCCUUGGGUCCUCACCAUGCUAUUACUACCACUGGGGUACCUUUUGCUAUUUGCCCCAAGUUCAGCCUCUCUCCCCACUAAAUCCUGGGACACUAGACCAGAACCACUCUCACCACCAUGCAGGAAUUGGUCCAAGCCAAUCCCACUCUCCCCAAAAACAGCCUUUGUGGUCCCUGUCCAUACUGGCACGUCCUCCUACCCUCCAGGAUGCAAGCUGGGUGUGGCUUCCAGCCGGGAGUCCCAGCCCAACAUCUCCCUGCUUCCCCUUUCCUCACGUGCUUUGCCCAGAGCCAUGCCCACUUCCCCCAGAUCAGGAUCCCUGGCACAUCCAGACUCUGGUUUCCGCUGUGGGAAGGGCACACAGGGUCUAGACUUGACCUGGGUGAGCCU